Ctenopharyngodon idella (grass carp) is the source of this 728-nucleotide long non-coding RNA. RefSeq lists it as uncharacterized. The transcript has 5 exons. The record is from RefSeq and is a predicted model, not a curated record. Lineage: Eukaryota; Metazoa; Chordata; Actinopteri; Cypriniformes; Xenocyprididae.
CAUUCAAAUCCAGACCUGCGUCCUGCUGACUGGAGGCGGGCGUCUCUAGUGCGUCGGUCUCAUCAGAUGAUGCUGCGUGACUCUCUGUCGGCUCGGGGUUGAUCUCUUCAGCACCUUCUGGAUGUGGAGAUGAAGGUCAUUCAAAUCCAGACCUGCGUCCUGCUGACUGGAGGCGGGCGUCUCUAGUGCGUCGGUCUCAUCAGAUGAUGCUGUGUGACUCUCUGUCGGCUCAGGGUUGAUCUCUUCAGCACCUUCUGGAUGUGGAGAUGAAGGUCAUUCAAAUCCAGACCUGCGUCCUGCUGACUGGAGGCGGGCGUCUCUAGUGCGUCGGUCUCAUCAGAUGAUGCUGUGUGACUCUCUGUCGGCUCAGGGUUGAUCUCUUCAGCACCUUCUGGAUGUGGAGAUGAAGGAACCGUGUCCUUCAGACGGGAAAUGGUGAAUCCUCUGGCCUGAAUCUCCUCCAGGAUUUCCUCUGAUUUCAACACCGUGUUACUGCUGAAAUGAUACCUUUGCAUUCGGUGUUGGGUUUAAUGAUUGCGAGUGUGUCCUCUGGUGGGAAGAAGAAGCUGAUCUCCAUCUCCGCCUCCUCUGAGCUUCUGCUGCCGUGCAGCUGGUUAAUACUGGAGUUCCCAUUACUGAACUGAGCUCGCAAACUACAUCAAAACCACACAGAGAGAAACGGUCACAAUCAAGUGUGCACCUGACCAUCUAAACCAGUGGUUCACAAC